CUUGCGGCUGCUACCAUGCAGUCGAACGUGAUCCGCCCUUCGGGGUGGUGAAAGUGGCGCACGGGUGAGUAACGCGUGGAUAAUCUGCCCGAGGAUUUGGGAUAACAUCUCGAAAGGGGUGCUAAUACCGAAUAAGCCCACGGGGUCUACGGAUCUUGCGGGAAAAGGGGGGGACCUUCGGGCCUCCUGUCCUUGGAUGAGUCUGCGUACCAUUAGCUAGUUGGUGGGGUAAUGGCCUACCAAGGCGACGAUGGUUAGCUGGUCUGAGAGGAUGAUCAGCCACACUGGAACUGAGACACGGUCCAGACUCCUACGGGAGGCAGCAGUGGGGAAUUUUGCGCAAUGGGGGAAACCCUGACGCAGCAACGCCGCGUGGGUGAUGAAGGCCUUCGGGUCGUAAAGCUCUGUCUGGAGGGAAGAAAUGAUUGGGAGCUAAUACCUCUUGAUCUUGACGGUACCUCUGAAGGAAGCACCGGCUAACUCCGUGCCAGCAGCCGCGGUAAUACGGAGGGUGCAAGCGUUGUUCGGAAUUAUUGGGCGUAAAGCGCGUGUAGGCGGUCUUUUAAGUCUGAUGUGAAAGCCCCGGGCUCAACCUGGGAAGUGCAUUGGAAACUGGGAGGCUUGAGUACGGGAGAGGAGAGUGGAAUUCCUAGUGUAGGAGUGAAAUCCGUAGAUAUUAGGAGGAACACCGGUGGCGAAGGCGGCUCUCUGGACCGAUACUGACGCUGAGACGCGAAAGCGUGGGUAGCAAACAGGAUUAGAUACCCUGAUAGUCCACGCCGUAAACGAUGAGUACUACGUGUUGCGGGUAUUGACCCCU
RNAcentral lists this ribosomal RNA (820 nucleotides) under uncultured Geobacter sp. RNAcentral describes it as "bacterial SSU rRNA". It matches the Rfam family "Bacterial small subunit ribosomal RNA", at positions 36 to 840 of the family's 1533-position model. The record is from RNAcentral. Lineage: Bacteria; Pseudomonadati; Thermodesulfobacteriota; Desulfuromonadia; Geobacterales; Geobacteraceae.